RNAcentral lists this ribosomal RNA (253 nucleotides) under uncultured bacterium. RNAcentral's name for it is "partial 16S ribosomal RNA". It matches the Rfam family "Bacterial small subunit ribosomal RNA", at positions 524 to 776 of the family's 1533-position model. The record is from RNAcentral.
UACGUAGGGUGCGAGCGUUGUCCGGAAUUACUGGGCGUAAAGAGCUCGUAGGUGGUUUGUCGCGUUGUUCGUGAAAACUCACAGCUCAACUGUGGGCGUGCGGGCGAUACGGGCAGACUGGAGUACUGCAGGGGAGACUGGAAUUCCUGGUGUAGCGGUGGAAUGCGCAGAUAUCAGGAGGAACACCGGUGGCGAAGGCGGGUCUCUGGGCAGUAACUGACGCUGAGAAGCGAAAGCAUGGGGAGCGAACAGG